RNAcentral lists this long non-coding RNA (228 nucleotides) under Elaeis guineensis (African oil palm). RNAcentral's name for it is "long non-coding RNA (EGUI_LNC067543)". Lineage: Eukaryota; Viridiplantae; Streptophyta; Magnoliopsida; Arecales; Arecaceae. The record is from RNAcentral.
GGUGCUCUAAUGGUGUGUAGGGGUGCUACUACGAGGUCCCAUGAAAAAAAAAGCGAAAAAAAAAACUUACUUUCUUGCAAAAUCUUAAAUUUUGAAAUUCUAGGAUUUAUUGUAUAUGAUGCAAGUUGCAUAGAAAAUUAGUUACAUCUAAUCUUCAUAAUCAAAAUUAUUUUGAUUUAAAAUCAUGAAAAUUUAGAUUUGAUCUAAAAUAUUUUAUGAUUUAAUGUA